RNAcentral lists this transfer RNA (90 nucleotides) under Hyphomicrobiales bacterium. Its description in RNAcentral is "Rhizobiales bacterium tRNA-Ser". It matches the Rfam family "tRNA". From Rfam's summary of the family: Transfer RNA (tRNA) molecules are approximately 80 nucleotides in length. Their secondary structure includes four short double-helical elements and three loops (D, anti-codon, and T loops). RNAcentral also lists the same sequence under 2 other names. The record is from RNAcentral. Lineage: Bacteria; Pseudomonadati; Pseudomonadota; Alphaproteobacteria; Hyphomicrobiales.
GGAGAGGUGGCCGAGUGGCUUAAGGCGCACGCUUGGAAAGCGUGUAUACGGGAAACCGUAUCGUGGGUUCGAAUCCCACCCUCUCCGCCA